Long non-coding RNA from Cornus florida, 228 nucleotides. RefSeq lists it as uncharacterized. The record is from RefSeq and is a predicted model, not a curated record. The transcript is spliced from 3 exons. Lineage: Eukaryota; Viridiplantae; Streptophyta; Magnoliopsida; Cornales; Cornaceae.
CGUUGGUUUUUCGGGCAAGAACACUGCUGUUGUUUCUACUCCUGGUUCAUCUGAAAGGAAUCUCUCAACUUCAGCCCUUAUGGAAAGAAUUCCAAGCAGAUGGCCGCGCCCUGUAUGGCAUGCUCCGUGGAAAAACUACAGGGUUAUUAGUGGCCAUCUGGGAUGGGUGAGAUCUAUAGCGUUCGACCCAAGUAAUGAAUGGUUUGGCACAGGUUCUGCAGAUCGAAC